UACGUAGGGGGCAAGCGUUGUCCGGAAUCAUUGGGCGUAAAGAGCGCGUAGGCGGCCCUGUAAGUCCGCUGUGAAAGCCCCGGGCUCAACCUGGGAACUGCAAUGGAAACUGGCGGGCUUGAGUGUGGCAGAGGGGGGUGGAAUUCCGCGUGUAGCAGUGAAAUGCGUAGAGAUGCGGAGGAACACCGAUGGCGAAGGCAGCCCCCUGGGCCAACACUGACGCUCAGGCACGAAAGCGUGGGGAGCAAACAGG
This 253-nucleotide ribosomal RNA is filed under the name uncultured bacterium. RNAcentral describes it as "partial 16S ribosomal RNA". It matches the Rfam family "Bacterial small subunit ribosomal RNA", at positions 524 to 776 of the family's 1533-position model. The record is from RNAcentral.